Molecule: long non-coding RNA, 278 nt
Filed under: Hordeum vulgare
Lineage: Eukaryota; Viridiplantae; Streptophyta; Magnoliopsida; Poales; Poaceae
Description: long non-coding RNA (HVUL_LNC005136)
Source: RNAcentral
UCCAUUAAUAGAGAUACUGAAGCGAGUCGAGCUUUUGUCUCGCAUAAAGCUAAACAAAGCUGCUCCCAACCUUCACAUCAUUAAAAUUUAUGACUAAAAACAAUAAGGAGGGCUUUAAAAGAAAGGAACACCAACAACCUGACAGGACUGAGAAGUGGAUCAAUAUACUUUAAAAUAAUUCGUAUAUGCCUUUUCUCUUUCAGCUAUUAAAACAAAAAAGGCAACAUCUUUCAAUUAUAAAAGGACCACUAGUUGUUAAAAUUUUCUCGAUCGCCCCU